RNAcentral lists this ribosomal RNA (449 nucleotides) under uncultured bacterium. Its description in RNAcentral is "bacterial SSU rRNA". It matches the Rfam family "Bacterial small subunit ribosomal RNA", at positions 355 to 825 of the family's 1533-position model. The record is from RNAcentral.
UGGGGAAUAUUGGACAAUGGGCGCAAGCCUGAUCCAGCCAUGCCGCGUGAGUGAUGAAGGCCUUAGGGUUGUAAAGCUCUUUUUACCAGGGAAGAUAAUGACGGUACCUGGAGAAUAAGCCCCGGCUAACUUCGUGCCAGCAGCCGCGGUAAUACGAAGGGGGCUAGCGUUGCUCGGAAUCACUGGGCGUAAAGUGCACGUAGGUGGGUCAUUAAGUCAGGGGUGAAAUCCUGGAGCUCAACUCCAGAACUGCCUUUGAUACUGAUGAUCUUCGAGUCCGGGAGAGGUGGGUGGAACUGCGAGUGUAGAGGUGAAAUUCGUAGAUAUUCGCAAGAACACCAGUGGCGAAGGCGGCUCACUGGCCCGGUACUGACACUGAGGUGCGAAAGCGUGGGGAGCAAACAGGAUUAGAUACCCCCGUAGUCCCUGAGCGGGCUGGCAAGGCGCAU